CUUUUCUUCAUCCCCGACAAAAAAUGGUUCUUUUGCGUUCUCAGAGACAGCAUCAACGGAGUUUCAAGUUUCCGAUUAACUCUAAUCAUUGUUGAUCUUCAAUCGCGUCUUUUAGUCUUCACUUCUAAUCAACUGAAACGCUUCGAAUUACAGAUUAAUUGUCUUUAUAGCCUUCUUAACUCCAUAAACCGACGUGAACACGAUCUGAAAUUGAAUGCGUCGUAACCCUCUGCAAAGCGGUCUCUACACCUAUAAUAAGAUACGGCCGCUGUUCCUCCACGGUGAAGAGAUGUUGUGGACAGCUUUGUGCUUUUAGGGCUAAAUAAGAGGAGAUAGAGAAGAAGAAGAUGGAGAUUUGGAAAAGAAUUUAUGCUCAACUUUGUUGUAUCGAAGAAGAGACGGAGCGAUUUGUGAGGAACUUGAAGGUUUAGCUGACCCAUGAGAAAAGAAGUUGCUCUGGCCAGUAAAUCCGCUAAAGAGAAUUUCGCUGUCAAAAUGAAAGGCUUCUUCUGGCCCAAAAUCCAGCAAAAUAAGAACUUGCUCUGCGUACUGUCUGAAGCAUAGAACUCGAGACAGACAGACACAUAACCAUUUAAUUAAGACAGGCUAUUUGUUGUUAGUUUACACCCUUUCCUCAUUGGCUUUCUUUUAUUAGUAUUGCUAUAUUUUCACACAUGUAAGUAACAACUUUAGAAUACAAGGUUUGGGGAUAAUCAGUUAAUGACAACAUUGGAUCCUUAUUAAUCUAUUUGUGGCUGUGCAUAUAGAUCAGAAUGGACUCAGGGCUAUGAAGACAAGCGAAUGGGUGUGGUUUGUAUUACAUCUACCAGCUUGAUCUCAAUCAAACUUCUUUCUGUAGAAAUUGAUUUGUUACCCCUUUUUAACUUUGCUGCUUACUAUUUAUAAUUUUGUAUAAUGUGUAGAAAGAUCAGCAAGCCUUUGAGCUAUUAUGGUGAAGGACAAACAAAUAAGCUUUUAUAAAUUACGGUGGUAUACA
Long non-coding RNA from Raphanus sativus (radish), 997 nucleotides. RefSeq lists it as uncharacterized. The transcript is spliced from 4 exons. NCBI's taxonomy places the organism in Eukaryota, Viridiplantae, Streptophyta, Magnoliopsida, Brassicales, Brassicaceae. The record is from RefSeq and is a predicted model, not a curated record.